GUGCUCACUUUGGCAGCACAUAUACUAAAGUUGGAAAGAUUCGGAGAAGAUUAGCAUAGUCCCUCUUUGGGAAUGAGACACAAAUUCUUGAAGCAUUUCAUGUUUUA
This is a small nuclear RNA of Meriones unguiculatus (Mongolian gerbil), 107 nucleotides long. NCBI's taxonomy places the organism in Eukaryota, Metazoa, Chordata, Mammalia, Rodentia, Muridae. The record is from Ensembl.